CAGUACUGGUACAGUACUGGUACAGUACUGGUACAGUACUGGUACAGUACUGGGCCGAGUCACAUAUAAAGGUUUUAAUCAAUGUGUUUAAUAAACUGUUAUAGGUCCUAGUUAAAAUGAAUAAUUAUCAAAAUUGCAUGCAUAUCUGUAGGUGUUUAUGGUUUGUUUGCUUCGAUACCUGCUUGGUCAUUUUGGCAAAUUAAAUACGUUUGCUUAAUGCUAUUAUUUUAUGAUCAUUUUAUUUUGCAUACUGGCGGCCGCUGUGCCUUCGCAGUGUCAAUGGUGCUCCUAUUGCUUAAGUUAUUGCAUAUUGCUUAUGUUGUAGUUUUUAAGUGUGCUUUUCUCCUUAAUUCACGAAUGAAAGACAUUCAGAAAAAGCUUCAGUAGCACGUUUCGCUCUUAUGACCCGAUAAAGCUUUACAAAGAGGGGAAACGUCCCCUCGCUUUGUAUCGUCUUUUCAUCAUUAUUGUCAACAGGACGUCGUUGUAUCACCGUAUAUAAAUCUGUAAAAGACAUUCAAACAUAUUAUCCCGACAGCCACCAUCUUGAUUCACCUUCGUGAUGACUUGACUCCAGACUCUUGCAUCAUUCAUGUAUUUUAUCUGUUGAGUUUACCGAGGAGAUCUACAAAUACGUGGAUAUUAUUUCAUCUGCCUAUAUCGACGUACCUAUUUUGUAGUCUAUGCUUAACUACCCUUUUGUAUAGUUUAUUAUUAUGGAGAAGCGCUAAAUCCGUAGGAUAAUACAGCGCCUGUGGGGGGAGGGGAUGGAAGGUACUCAGGCUUAAUUUAAGGAUUAUUAUUAUUAUAAUCAAAAAGAAGCGCUAAGCCACAAGGGCUAUACAGCUUAAGGAACUGGAGCACAGAUCCAAUUCCCUAGAUCAAGAGCCCCCUCGCCAGCAUCAAGGAACCUCCCUUGAGGGGAUAAUUAGUUACCUAUUUUGCUGGUUGCGACUAUUGAACAAUUGCGAUUUUUAUUACACCUUUUGUCCUAUCAUCAUUAAAUCGGUUUUCAGUUUACUAUUAAAAAUACUAACUUGAUUUGCUGUAUUAGCUUCGUAACAAAUUAUUAUUAUUAUUAUAAUCAAGAGGGAAGCGCUAAACCCGAGGAUAUACAAUCCACAGCUAGCAUCGUAACAAAAUAACUAUGAAAAGGUAAACAGAAGUGUAGGACGUGUCUACCUGUAUAUACCUUCCCAAUUUAGAAGUCUUAUUCAAGCUUUUUAAUCAGUUUUGGCUAUUAUAAUAUUACACAACAAGGUUUAUCACAGCAAAAUACAACUUUCUGUAUACAAUUUUUACAAUAGAUUAUAUUAUAGGUAAUACUCUAUUAUUUGCUUCGUGUACUUUAUGCAUUAACUUUCACUAAUGUGCUUUAAUUUCUUUACAUUUAAAUUAUUAUAAUAAAAAACGCUAAACCUACAAGGGUCAUACAGCGCCGUCUUUAGAUUUAAAGGCAUGCUAUUUUUUUGCUCUAGGAACUGCACGUGUUAUUUCAGGACUGGUAGACACACCUGGAGUUAUCAGUCUUAUAUUUUCAACUGCUUCUAUAAUAUAUCUUUUGUUCUUUAUGCCAUUGUUUUAGUAGUAAUAUAAUAAUUUGUUGUACGUGGUCUUGUUAGUUUUCUGUGGAAUAUUACAUUCAUUUGUUCUCAAUUCAUAGUUAAAAAUGCCUUAUUUAUCUGUCAAAUCUGUCACUUGAGUUGUUUAUUGCAACAUUUAUCCUGCUGUAUAUUUUAAUAUAUGCAGAACUACCAUUGUGAAAAAGUAGUGAAUUUUGCAACACUUACGAGAUUUCUCACAUUAUCAAGAAACUUGAUGUGAUUAUAUAAUCAUUAAUAACAAUUUUAAGUUUCCUGUGGACUUAAAAGUUUGAAUUAAGAAUGAAUUUACUUGUUUGGAAACAUCUAUACACAUUGAUAAACAUUAUAUAGCUAAUCAAAAUAUUCUCUCAAGUUGAAGUGACAACAGUGUCGAGUGAAGGAUUAUUUAUUGCAUAAGAAUCUCAUGUUAAUAGCAAAUGCCUUAACCAAUGACAAUAAAUAACAAAAAGGCACAAUACCGUGACUGGAACGAUACACAAAUAACCCGCACAUAAAAGACAGAAGCUUACGACGACGUUUCGGUCCGACUUGGACCAUUGACAACUAAUACUACUACUACUACUACCUCCACCUCUUCCUGCCUAUAUAUAGCCGUCCUGCUCCACCUCUGUUAGUGUGACUUUGUCAAUGGUCCAAGUCGGACCGAAACGUCGUCGUAAGCUUCUGUCUUUUAUGUGCGGGUUAUUUGUGUACCAAUGACAAUGUUUUGCAUACAAAAGAAAUGAAAGAUUUGUUGUAAAUAUUCAUCACGCUUUUGGUUUUAUAUUAAAAUUCUCGACUUAAAUUUUUGGCAACAAGAUAUCCAUUGUAUAAGGUAGGACAAUGACAAAAUUGUGUUUAUUAGUAAAAACUGUUUGGCCAACGCCUUGUACAAAUAUGAUGGAAAUGAUGGUACUGUUUCACAUGCGAAACUAGUUCUAUAAGUUGACUACGUAACUCAUGAAAUCGUAUUGACACGAUUGCAAACAAGCCAUACCCCGGGUGGGGUUAGAACCCGCGAUCAGAGAAUCGCGAAACUAGACGAACGCUGGUCCAAUGGCUAACGCGUCGGUCUGGAGUUUUGUGACUGUGAUCGCGGGUUCUAACCCCACCCGUGAUAUGGUUUGAUUCUAUAAGCUCCUUGUUUUAAGGUGGCUCUGAUAUAUAUUACACUAGGCCACUCUGAAGGCCUUUGCUCUGCUCUUAAAGCUUUACUAAUCAAAAUCCGACUCCGUAAUACCACAGAAAGCAGCGAUAUUUUCUAAAUCCUGUCUUCCAUUAGCUUAAGUAAACUACACAAACUGUUUAGGAAUUUCUGCUUAUAUUAAAGAAUUUUCCUAAGUAAUUUAACUAUAAUUUAUAGUUUUCUAGCAUUCCAUACAUCACAAUUUGCAAGCUGUGAUGUUGCAUGUUUUUUUGGGUGGAUUUAAUAGUUAUUAAACUUCCUUAAGAUGUUGACAGAAUGGUGCUUUUAUAUAUAGUAAGUUCUUAUAAAGCUUAUAUAUAGUGUGAUUUUUUUGUGAGAAGAUGAUUGCAAUAGUGAAUCAAGAUUGAAUAACGCGCAUUAAGAAAGCCUUUCCACGCACUGUUCAAUUUUGGUUACACUUUUACCAGUCAUAUUUACCACAAAAAAGUAAAUUAUAUGGAGGAGUCUUAUAAGAUUUUGAUGCUUUUAGGGUCAGCCUUCAAAAUGUAUUAAUUACCAGGGUUGUAUUAUGUAUGUUGCAUGUAUGUUUACGUAUUAUUUCAUUAUGUAGUGACUAUGAAUACAUGUCUAGAUUAUCUUCUGUAUGUGAGUGCCUUAAAGUCUAAAUCAGGAAUAUAAUCACGGGUAUACACAGAAGUAUAUCUCUCAGUGUAUAUACCUCUGAGAGAUUAGUAAAAGAUACAAUAGGGAUUAAAGUGUUGUUGAUGUCCGUGUUCAGGUGAACUACAAACUUUAAUUGACCCAUGUUCACCCAGACUCUGAACUUGACUAAUAUCACUUGGCAGAGUCAAGUAUUAUAAUCAGAAUUAAGCGCUAAACCCACCAGGAUCAUACAGAGCUGGAGGCAGAGUUGACUGCCACCAAUGUACAAAUUAAUGUGGUUGUAAUUAAAACCUUCAUUUUUAAAGGAGUAGAGGGGUAAGCCAGUGGAAGGCCUCGGUCAGAUGAUCAAAAGCUCCAGCUACGGGUCAUCAUAUGACUAAGACCCGCAUCAGGAAACACUUGUCCUGUUUCCUAACUUAACCUGACCUGCCACCAAGUGUUCCACAGUAUUUCAGUCUCAAUUUCUUACAUUCACGAUGGAGCAGUAAACUCGUAAGGGUCAUAAAUCACCUGGUGGGGGUAAAUGGGAGGCAAUCACAUUCGAUCCAAAGGGAAAAUAGUUCCAGUUCUUUGGAUCAAGAGCCCUUCACUUGCACAAAGACACCAACUUGAAAGAAAUAAUUUCCUACGCAUUGCAUAUCUGUAUUAUUAAAACAACCAAAUGCUAAACCCACAAGGGAUCGCAUUUCUGUAGCCAUAGUUUAAUUUAUAUAAAGAUUUAGACUUUGACCCCUAAUUACACGAUUAUAGUUUCGAUAUUUAAUCAUAGAAUACCUUACCUUCUUCCUCCAUUUUUUACAAACUUUUCCAUCAGUGUUAAAACAAACUUGGUUUAACUUUUCAAAAUCAAGUUCCAUAAUAUUGUAAAUUUUAGGUUAAAAAUUUAUAUUAUGUUUUAGUUCCCGUGUUUGUACUUUUGUACAAAAGUUCCUUUGUUAGUUUUAUUUUGGUUUUGUUGGAGCCUCUAAGUUAGGCUUAUAUAUUUUUUGUUUCAGUUACGUAUUUUGUGUUAUUAUUUGCAAUAAUUUUGUUACGUUUAAUUUUAUUUUUUGUUCUGUACAACUUGUUUCAAAAAACAGUUUCACAUAUAAAAAACUAAAAAAAAUAAAGUAUAAAUAAAUUAGAAGGAACUAGAAGUGCCUAAUUACCAACUAUAAAACCGAAAACUUGUAUUUUCAUCAAAAUUUUGGAUAUAAAAUGUCAGUAUUGGCUCAUAAAUAAAAAUAAAUUUAGAAGCUUUCACUAGGCAUGUAUUGGCUUGUGCAAAAUAUUUCUAAUAAAAUUAAUUAUGUCA
Cherax quadricarinatus is the source of this 4687-nucleotide non-coding RNA. NCBI's taxonomy places the organism in Eukaryota, Metazoa, Arthropoda, Malacostraca, Decapoda, Parastacidae. The record is from RefSeq and is a predicted model, not a curated record.